CGGGAUGUAGCUCAAACGGCUGGAGCGUCCGCGCGACAUGCGGAAGGCUGCGGGUUCGAGUCCCGCCAUCCCGA
RNAcentral lists this transfer RNA (74 nucleotides) under Acidobacteriota bacterium. Its description in RNAcentral is "tRNA-Val". It matches the Rfam family "tRNA". Rfam says of the family: Transfer RNA (tRNA) molecules are approximately 80 nucleotides in length. Their secondary structure includes four short double-helical elements and three loops (D, anti-codon, and T loops). RNAcentral also lists the same sequence under 1 other name. The record is from RNAcentral. Lineage: Bacteria; Pseudomonadati; Acidobacteriota.